AGCUACGUAUCUUCUUAGAAACAGGAAUUCACUCGUGCCUGAGAAAUCAGCUCCAUUUUUGUGUCCACAGUUGCAUCUCCUGUGAUCUUAAAAGGACAGAGGGAUGGGGAAAUUCCUGAGAGUGUUCUUUGUGACUCUGUGGCUUCAUGUGGCAAGGGUGAACAGCCAACAAGGAGAAGAGAAAACUCACACUCUGAGCAUCCAACCUGGUGAAAAUGCCACCAUGAACUGCAGUUACAAAUCUAGCAUAACUGUCCUGCAGUGGUACAGACAGGAUUCUGGCAGAGGACCCACCAUGCUAAUUUUAAUAAGGUCAAAUGAGAGAGAGAAAAUCAGUGGACGGCUAAGAAUCACCCUGGACACCUCUGCUAGAAGCAGUUCCCUGUCCAUCUUGACUUCCCAGCCAGAAGACACUGCUGUUUACUUCUGUGCCACAGAUGCACAGUGUUCAGUGUGCACCUGCAGCCUGACUCUAACCUCACCAGAGCUUCUGCCUAAAGGCCUUAGCACUGAGAGAGCUGUGUUAUGUCUUCCUAUGAGUGAGAGUGUAAGAUAAGUAUGUGGAAUCCUCUCCUACUGAUGUUUUUUGGAAAUACCUGAAAUUUUGCCAAGGUCUAGAAUGUGGAAUGGGGAAAUGAAAUAUCAGGCUCAGAUAUGGCCCUCCUGCCAGCUGACCUCAAGCUCAUCUUCAGUGCAAUGGCCUUCUAAGUUCUCAAUUGUUGUGAAGGGCAAGGAUUCCUAAGUACCAACUAUUCUCGAUUUAUGUUCAGGUUACCUAAGAAAGGGAAGCCCUGGGUACUUGGUGUGUGUGAGCAAGGACUGCUCAAGAC
This is a non-coding RNA of Dipodomys ordii (Ord's kangaroo rat), 830 nucleotides long. The record is from the annotation of a RefSeq genome assembly. NCBI's taxonomy places the organism in Eukaryota, Metazoa, Chordata, Mammalia, Rodentia, Heteromyidae.